CCUGCCCCUAGAGGUGUUGCGGAUGUGGUUGUGUGUCACGUAUGCAUCAGUAGGUGGCAGAGAGGAGGGAGGGUAUGUCUUGGCUAAUUGUUCUGACCUGAAUCAUUCUGAACAUCUGAAUGACUAAUAGCCCAACAUU
This 139-nucleotide small nucleolar RNA is filed under the name Mus musculus (house mouse). Its description in RNAcentral is "Small nucleolar RNA SNORA17". It matches the Rfam family "Small nucleolar RNA SNORA17". From Rfam's summary of the family: snoRNA ACA 17 belongs to the H/ACA family of snoRNAs and is predicted to guide pseudouridylation of the 28S rRNA at positions U4659 and U4598. It shares the same host gene together with ACA43. The record is from Rfam by way of RNAcentral. Lineage: Eukaryota; Metazoa; Chordata; Mammalia; Rodentia; Muridae.